UACAGAGACCCCGAGCGUUAUCCGGAAUUACUGGGCAUAAAGAGCGAAAAGCCGGUCGCAUUAGUCCGUUGUCAAACCAUGGGGCCCAACCCCAUGCCUGCAUCGGAAACGGUGUGACUAGAGCAGAUGAGAGGGGAGCAGAACGUACGGUGUAGGGGUGAAAUCCACUGAUAUCGUACGGAAUACCAAAAGCGAAGGCAGCUCCCUAGCGUCUUGCUGACGGUGCAUCGCGAAAGCGUGGGGAUCAAAAAGG
Molecule: ribosomal RNA, 253 nt
Filed under: uncultured bacterium
Lineage: Bacteria
Description: partial 16S ribosomal RNA
Rfam family: Bacterial small subunit ribosomal RNA
Source: RNAcentral